Molecule: ribosomal RNA, 255 nt
Filed under: Bacillus velezensis
Lineage: Bacteria; Bacillati; Bacillota; Bacilli; Caryophanales; Bacillaceae
Also listed under: 3 other names
Description: partial 23S ribosomal RNA
Rfam family: Bacterial large subunit ribosomal RNA
Source: RNAcentral
AAUGGAGUGGUAUCCAUAUCUGAAUACAUAGGAUAUGAGAAGGCAGACCCGGGGAACUGAAACAUCUAAGUACCCGGAGGAAGAGAAAGCAAAUGCGAUUCCCUGAGUAGCGGCGAGCGAAACGGGACCAGCCCAAACCAAGAGGCUUGCCUCUUGGGGUUGUAGGACACUCUGUACGGAGUUACAAAGGAACGAGGUAGAUGAAGAGGUCUGGAAAGGCCCGCCAUAGGAGGUAACAGCCCUGUAGUCAAAACU